GGAAGAGCUACAAGCUGUCUAUAUACAUGCAGUCGUACCAAGGUAACAAAUUGAUUUUAUGCUUUCAUAAAUAUUUUUCCCUUUAUAACGAGUGGCCAACUGCUGAAUACUCUGUGGAGUAACCCCUUUACUCAGCGGGGGAUAACCAUUAGAAACCAGUGGUAAUUCCGCAAAAGUUGUUGGAACCGCAUGGUUCCCUCUUGAAAGAAGGCUCUGCGAUUUAUUCGGGAUGGAACCGCGCCGUACUACUUAAUUAGUGAGAAAAAAGCCCACCAAAAACAGGAUUCCUAGGCGACCUGAGAGGGGCAUCCGCCACUUUGGGAGGGAGACGCGGCCCGGAAUCCUACCGGAGGCACCAAUAGGGGAUCUUCCACCAUGGAGUAAGGUCUGAUGGAGCAACGCCCCGUGAGUUAUGAAGGAUUUCAGAUCGUAAAACUCUGUUGUUUAAGAAGAACGAGUGUUAGACUAACUGUUAACGCUUUGACCGUAUUUAACCCCAAAGCCACGGCUAACUACGUGCCAUCAGCCGCGGUAAUACGUAUGUGGCCAACGUUGUCCCGAAUUAUUGGGCAUAUAACGAGCGCAAGCCGUUUUGUAAAUCUGCUCUGGGAGCCCUCAACUCAACUAAGUAAGUGCAAUGGAAACUACUAAACUUGAGUACAAAGCAGUAAAGUUGAACUCCAUGUGGAGCGGUGAGAUGCGUACAUAUCUGGAAUAACGCUGGUGGUGAAGGCGGGUUUCAUAAAUGUGACUGAAUCUCACGCUCGCAACCGGGGAUCUCUCACGAGAUUUAAUAACUAGGUUUUGCCUUGAGUUUACCUAGGUAUACCUCUCGUUUGCAGGGGUUGGGACUAUCAGCGGACGCCCCAAGGCGGAUAGAGUGGCCGCCUGCCGGAGAAAGAUGGAAAAGUUGGGAUUGAUUGUAAAUAACCAAGAAGCCUUACACAGGGUGGCCUCCUAGAUAAUUUAUG
RNAcentral lists this ribosomal RNA (971 nucleotides) under Lactiplantibacillus plantarum. Its description in RNAcentral is "bacterial SSU rRNA". It matches the Rfam family "Bacterial small subunit ribosomal RNA", at positions 26 to 873 of the family's 1533-position model. The record is from RNAcentral. Lineage: Bacteria; Bacillati; Bacillota; Bacilli; Lactobacillales; Lactobacillaceae.